RNAcentral lists this ribosomal RNA (2891 nucleotides) under Phocaeicola vulgatus. RNAcentral's name for it is "bacterial LSU rRNA". It matches the Rfam family "Bacterial large subunit ribosomal RNA". The record is from RNAcentral. Lineage: Bacteria; Pseudomonadati; Bacteroidota; Bacteroidia; Bacteroidales; Bacteroidaceae.
AUAAAGAAAGUAAAAAAGGGCGCAUGGCGGAUGCCUUGGCUCUCGGAGGCGAUGAAGGACGUGAUAAGCUGCGAUAAGCUUUGGGGAGGUGCAAAUGACCUUUGAUCCAGAGAUUUCCGAAUGGGACAACCCAAUAUCUUGAAGAGGUAUUAUCCAACGUUGUUGGAGGCUAACGCAGGGAACUGAAACAUCUUAGUACCUGCAGGAAAAGAAAAUAAACAAUGAUUCCCCCAGUAGUGGCGAGCGAACGGGGAACAGCCCAAACCAUCCAUGUUACGGCAUGGGUGGGGUUGUAGGACUACGCCGUUGCAUGAAGACAUCAGAGAAGAACUUUCUGGAAAGAAAGACCAUAGAGCAUGACAGUUGCGUAUUCGAACGUUGUCGAAGCAUAGUAGUAUCCUGAGUAGCGCGGAGCACGAGGAAUUCUGCGUGAAUCUGCCGGGACCAUCCGGUAAGGCUAAAUACUCCCGAGAGACCGAUAGCGAACCAGUACCGUGAGGGAAAGGUGAAAAGCACUUCGAACAGAAGAGUGAAAUAGUUCCUGAAACCGUGCGCCUACAAGCGGUCGGAGCUCGUUAAUGAGUGACGGCGUGCCUUUUGCAUAAUGAACCUACGAGUUGCCUUUGCCGGCAAGGUUAAGUGUGACGACACACGUAUCCGAAGCGAAAGCGAGUCUGAACAGGGCGUAUAGUCGGCAGUGGCAGACGCGAAACCAAGUGAUCUACCCUUGGCCAGGUUGAAGGCUGGGUAACACCAGCUGGAGGACCGCACCAAUAAGCGUUGAAAAGCUUCUGGAUGAGCUGAGGGUAGGGGUGAAAGGCUAAUCAAACUUGGAGAUAGCUCGUACUCCCCGAAAUGCAUUUAGGUGCAGCCUUGCGGGUUACUGAUGUGAGGUAGAGCGACUGAUAAGAUGCGAGGGCUUCACCGCCUAUCAAGUCUUGACAAACUCCGAAUGCGCAUCAGUUCUACCGCAGGAGUGAGGGCAUGGGUGCUAAGGUCCGUGCCCGAGAGGAGAAGAAUCCGGACCACCUGCUAAGGUCCCGAAAUGACAGCUAAGUUAAACUAACGAAGUCUGACUGCUAAGACAGCUAGGAUGUUGGCUUGGAAGCAGCCAUUCAUUUAAAGAGUGCGUAACAGCUCACUAGUCGAGGAGUCGGGCGUGGAUAAUAAUCGGGUAUUAAGUUGUCUACCGAAGCAGUGGGAUCAUUAAUAUGAUCGGUAGGGGAGCAUUCCAGUCAGCGUCGAAGGCGUACCGUGAGGUAUUCUGGAGCGUCUGGAAAAGCAAAUGUAGGUAUAAGUAACGAUAAAGGGGGCGGGAAACCCCCUCGCCGAAAGACUAAGGUUUCCUGAUCAACGCUAAUCGGAUCAGGGUCAGUCGGGUCCUAAGGCUCAGCCGAACGGCGAUGCCGAUGGCAGAAACGGUUAAUAUUCCGUUACUACCUUCAGGAGUGACGUGGAGACGCAGUAGUGACAGUGCCGCCAUCUGACGGAAUAGAUGGUUGAAGGGUGUAGGAGUCGAUCAUGGCAGGCAAAUCCACCAUGAGAUCCGAACCUGAUAGUAUGCCGCGUCCUUCGGGACAAGGCAAUAGUGCGCGUAAGCAUGCUGCCGAGAAAAUCCGCUAAACUUAAUCCUGCAGGUACCCGUACCGCAAACGGACACACGUAGUCGGGAUGAAUAUUCUAAGGCGCUUGAGUGAUUCACGGUUAAGGAACUAGGCAAACUGACCCUGUAACUUCGGGAUAAAGGGUCCCUACCCUUUUAUGGGAGGGCGCAGAGAAUCGGUCCAGGCAACUGUUUAACAAAAACACAGGGCUGUGCCAAAUCGAAAGAUCCAGUAUACAGCCUGACACCUGCCCAGUGCUGGAAGGUUAAGAGGAGAUGUCAUCGAUAAGAGAAGCGUUGAAUUGAAGCCCCAGUAAACGGCGGCCGUAACUAUAACGGUCCUAAGGUAGCGAAAUUCCUUGUCGGGUAAGUUCCGACCUGCACGAAUGGUGUAAUGAUCUGGACGCUGUCUCAACCGUGAGCUCAGUGAAAUUGUAGUAUCGGUGAAGAUGCCGAUUACCCGCGAUGGGACGAAAAGACCCCGUGAACCUUUACUAUAGCUUAUCAUUGAAUCUGGGCACGUGAUGUGUAGGAUAGGUCGGAGGCUUUGAAGCAGGUACGCCAGUAUUUGUGGAGCCGCUGUUGAAAUACGACCCUUUAUUUGUUUGGAUUCUAACCCGUGGAACGGGGACAUUGAUUGGUGGGUAGUUUGACUGGGGUGGUCGCCUCCAAAAGCGUAACGGAGGCUUCUAAAGGUGCCCUCCGGCCGAUUGGUAACCGGCCUUAGAGUGUAAUGGCAUAAGGGCGCUUGACUGGGAGACUGACAAGUCGAUCAGGUAGGAAACUAGAGCAUAGUGAUCCGGUGUUUCCGUAUGGAAGGGACAUCGCUCAAAGGAUAAAAGGUACUCCGGGGAUAACAGGCUGAUCCCUCCCAAGAGCUCAUAUCGACGGAGUGGUUUGGCACCUCGAUGUCGGCUCGUCACAUCCUGGGGCUGGAGAAGGUCCCAAGGGUUGGGCUGUUCGCCCAUUAAAGUGGCACGCGAGCUGGGUUCAGAACGUCGUGAGACAGUUCGGUCUCUAUCUAUCGUGGGCGUAUGAAAUUUGCGUGGCUCUGACACUAGUACGAGAGGACCGUGUUGGACAGACCUCUGGUUUGCCGGUUGUGCCGCCAGGUGCAUUGCCGGGUAUCUAAGUCUGGAUCGGAUAAGUGCUGAAAGCAUCUAAGUACGAAGCCGGCCACAAGAUUAGAUUUCUCAGGGUCGUUGUAGACUACGACGUUGAUAGGAUGCAGGUGUAAAGAUGGAGACAUCAAAGCCGAGCAUUACUAAUUGCCCGUUCACUUUCCUUA